Small nucleolar RNA from Oryctolagus cuniculus (rabbit), 119 nucleotides. The record is from Ensembl. NCBI's taxonomy places the organism in Eukaryota, Metazoa, Chordata, Mammalia, Lagomorpha, Leporidae.
UUCCAAAGUGUUGAGUUCAGUUCAGGGCAGCGUCCCUGUUCAUUAAACUCUGGGACAUUGAAAGGGGUUAGGAGAACUGGUUAGAAAGCAUCAUUCUAUUCGCCUCCCAGCCUAUAACA